CCCUUAGAUGUUCUGGGCCGCACGCGCGCUACACUGACGAUGGCAACGAGUUUUUCCUUCGCCGAAAGGUGUGGGUAAUCUUUUGAAACAUCGUCGUGCUGGGGAUAGAUCAUUGCAAUUUUUGAUCUUGAACGAGGAAUUCCUAGUAAGCGUGAUUCAUCAAAUCGCGUUGAUUACGUCCCUGCCCUUUGUACACACCGCCCGUCGCUCCUACCGAUUGAAUGUGUUGGUGAGGAGCUCGGAUUGGCAGCAGUUGGUGGUUCGCCACCGGCUAUUGCUGAGAAGUCCUCCAAACCGCCCCAUUUAGAGGAAGGAGAAGUCGUAACA
RNAcentral lists this ribosomal RNA (327 nucleotides) under uncultured eukaryote. Its description in RNAcentral is "partial 18S ribosomal RNA". It matches the Rfam family "Eukaryotic small subunit ribosomal RNA", at positions 1470 to 1796 of the family's 1831-position model. The record is from RNAcentral.